Molecule: unclassified non-coding RNA, 296 nt
Organism: Callithrix jacchus (white-tufted-ear marmoset)
Lineage: Eukaryota; Metazoa; Chordata; Mammalia; Primates; Cebidae
Rfam family: Metazoan signal recognition particle RNA
About the family: The signal recognition particle (SRP) is a universally conserved ribonucleoprotein. It is involved in the co-translational targeting of proteins to membranes. The eukaryotic SRP consists of a 300-nucleotide 7S RNA and six proteins: SRPs 72, 68, 54, 19, 14, and 9.
Source: Ensembl
GCUGGGCGCAGUGGCGUGUGCCUGUAGUCCCAGCUAGGCUGAGGUGGGAGGAUCGCUUGAGCCCAGGAGUUCUGGGCUGUAGUAGUGCGCUAUGCUGAUCGGGUGUCCCCACUAAGUUCGGCAUCAAUAUGGUGACCUCCUAGGAGCGGGGGACCACCAGGUUGCCUAAGGAGGGAUGAACUGGCCAAGGUCGGAAACGGAGCAGGUCAAAACUCUGGUGCUGAUCAGUAAUGGGAUUGAGCCUGUGAAUAGCCACUGUACUCCAGCCUGGGCAACAUAGUGAGACCCCGCCUCUA